This 228-nucleotide ribosomal RNA is filed under the name uncultured bacterium. RNAcentral describes it as "partial 16S ribosomal RNA". It matches the Rfam family "Bacterial small subunit ribosomal RNA", at positions 97 to 334 of the family's 1533-position model. The record is from RNAcentral.
GGCGGACGGGUGAGUAACACGUGAGAAUUGGCCUUUAGGAGGGGGAUAACAAUUGGAAACGAAUGCUAAUACCCCAUAUGCUUUCGAGUGAAAUGGAUUUAUAUUUAUUCGCCUAAAGAGAAGCUCGCGGCUGAUUAGCUUGUUGGUAAGGUAAGAGCUUACCAAGGCGACGAUCAGUAUCUGGUUUGAGAGGACGAUCAGACACACUGGAACUGAGACACGGUCCAG